Molecule: long non-coding RNA, 1132 nt
Organism: Eublepharis macularius
Lineage: Eukaryota; Metazoa; Chordata; Lepidosauria; Squamata; Eublepharidae
Exons: 2
Source: RefSeq, a predicted model, not a curated record
UCUAUCUCUUUCCCCCACACCCAAAGGGAGCUUGCCCUGUGGCAGCAGAAUUUCCCUCUUUGCUUCCAAGAUGGAGCUCCCCUCGUGGAAGGGAGGUUUCUCUCUUUGCCCCCUGACAGGAAGCUUACCAGGUGGCAUUUUGGUUUCUUUGUCCUCACAAAAGGAAGCUCACCUAGUGGCAGGUAUGUUUCUUUCUCUUUCCCCCACACCCAAAGCUAGCUUUCCCAGUGGCAGCUGAAUUUCCCUCUUUGCUCCCAAGAUGGAGCUCACUUUGUGGAAGUGAGGUUUCUCUCUCUUUGCUCCUUGACAGGAAGCUCAUCAAGUGGCACCUUGGUUUAUUUGUCCUCACAAAAGGGAGCUCACCUGGUGUCAAAAAGCGGAGCUCACCUGGUGGAAGGUAGGUUUCUAUCUCUCUCUCCCACACCCAAAGGGAACUGGCCCAGUGCCAGCUCACUUUCUCUACUUUCCCACCAGAAAGAGAGCUCGUCCAGUGGCAGAUAGGUUUCUCCACCAAAAUGGAGUUAGCCUGGAUGUAGCUCAGUUUCUUUUGUGCACCCCAAAGGGAGCUCACCUAGGUCCAUGUAAGUCCCCCCCACCCACCCAAAGAGAGCUCAUUUUCUUCUCUCCCACCAAAAGGGAUAUCAUGGCUGCUUGGUUUCUCUCUCCAAUGCAAGCUCUUCUGGUGGCAAGUAAGAUUCUCUCUCCCACUUGCUUACCAAAAGGGAGCUCGUUUACUAACAGGUAAUCUUUCCAUACUCAGUAGGUUUUCUUUUUCAGGUUAGAAUAGGGAAUCACGAACAACUGCUCUGGGCAAAUGCUGGUCGCUGGUUGACGGGGCCAGGAAGGAAUUUUUUCCCUUGGAGGGCUAAUUGGCUCUUGUCCCACCGGGGUUUUUUUUGCCUUCCUCGGAGCACUUUUGUUCUAGAUUUAGGGAUUUUGUGAUGGCAAAGAAGACAUCACAGAAUUAUUUCCUUGGACUGCAGCGGCCGGAGUCCAAAGGGCUGCUGUGUUCUCCUGAAUGGAAAAGAAGGUGGAAAUUUAAAAUCAAAUUUUAUUUUAGACUUCCACCUUUUUUCCAUCCAAUAACCAAUAUUAUCAUUUAAUAAUAAUAAUAAAAGCGAAUUCCCUCUGA